AGUGAACGCUGGCGGCAGGCCUAACACAUGCAAGUCGAACGGUAACACAGUAAGGCCUGGUUCUUACGUGUGGCGAGUCGCGGGCGGGAGAGGAGUACGUGGGACUCUACGUUUGAGGGGGGGAUCACGUAGGGAAACUAACGCUAAUAGCGCAACCGAGCUACACGAGAGAGCAGGGGCUCUUCGCACCUUGCGCGAUGGAAUGAGCCGAUGUGGGAUUAGCUAGUGGGGGGGGUAAAGGCACACCAAGGCGACGAUCCGUAGCUGGUCUGAGAGGAUGACCAGCCACACUGGAACUGAGACACGGUCCAGACUCCUACGGGGGGCAGCAGUGGGGAAUAUUGGACAAUGGGCGCAAGCCUGAUCCAGCCAUACCGCGUGUGUGAAGAAGGCCUUCGGGUUGUAAAGCCCUUUUGUUGGGAAAGAAAAGCAGAAGGUUAAUACCCCGCCGUUUUGACGUUACCCGCAGAAUAAGCACCGGCUAACUUCGUG
This 492-nucleotide ribosomal RNA is filed under the name uncultured bacterium. Its description in RNAcentral is "partial 16S ribosomal RNA". It matches the Rfam family "Bacterial small subunit ribosomal RNA", at positions 29 to 507 of the family's 1533-position model. The record is from RNAcentral.